RNAcentral lists this ribosomal RNA (371 nucleotides) under uncultured organism. Its description in RNAcentral is "partial 16S ribosomal RNA". It matches the Rfam family "Bacterial small subunit ribosomal RNA", at positions 527 to 896 of the family's 1533-position model. The record is from RNAcentral.
GUAGGGAGCAAGCGUUGUUCGGAAUUAUUGGGCGUAAAGAGCGCGUAGGCGGCCAGGUAAGUCUGGUGUGAAAUCCCACAGCUCAACUGUGGAACUGCAUUGGAAACUGCUUGGCUAGAGUGCGGGAGAGGAGAGUGGAAUUCCCAGUGUAGAGGUGAAAUUCGUAGAUAUUGGGAGGAACACCAGUGGCGAAGGCGGCUCUCUGGACCGCAACUGACGCUGAGGCGCGAAAGCUAGGGGAGCGAACGGGAUUAGAUACCCCGGUAGUCCUAGCCGUAAACGAUGGGCACUAGGUGUAGGAGGUAUCGACCCCUUCUGUGCCGUAGCUAACGCAUUAAGUGCCCCGCCUGGGGAGUACGGUCGCAAGACUA